Molecule: unclassified non-coding RNA, 404 nt
Filed under: uncultured Glomeromycotina
Lineage: Eukaryota; Fungi; Glomeromycota
Description: sequence contains ITS2
Source: RNAcentral
AGAGUUAAACAGUGCGUGAAAUUGUUGAAAGGGAAACGCUUGACACCAGUUAUGCGGGUGGAAAAUCAGUCUUUUGCAAUGGGGAGUUGUAGGCGUUCAGACCGCAAGGCUGGCGUUUGCUUCAUCUUUGUUGUAAGUGAUGCACUUUUUCAUUUGCAGGUCAACAUCAGUUUGCUUUGCUGGACAAAACUCCAAGGGAAGGUGGCAGCUUAGGCUGUGUUAUAGCCCUGGAGCGAUACAGUGGAGUGGACUGAGGUUUCGCAGUGUGUGCUUUUAGCAAGGCUGACUGGGUGCUAUGGGAUCGUUCGGCGUACAAUGCAUGCAUUUUGCGUCGUGUCUUUUUCAUACUCGCUCAACUCGGCUCUUCCACGCUUAGGAUGUUGACUUAAUGGUUUUAAUCGACC